Erinaceus europaeus (western European hedgehog) is the source of this 267-nucleotide unclassified non-coding RNA. Its record names the gene 7SK. It matches the Rfam family "7SK RNA". Rfam says of the family: 7SK was discovered as an abundant small nuclear RNA in the mid-70s but a possible function has only recently been suggested. Two independent studies have found that 7SK RNA binds the CDK9/cyclin T complex (known as elongation factor P-TEFb). The record is from Ensembl. NCBI's taxonomy places the organism in Eukaryota, Metazoa, Chordata, Mammalia, Eulipotyphla, Erinaceidae.
GGAUAUAAGGGUGGUUGGGCUGUGACAUCUGUCACCCCAUUGAAUGCCAAGGUUGAUUUGGCUAAUCUGGCUAGGGUGUCCCCUUCCUCUCCACUUCUCCACCUGUGUUGCUCCAGAAACUGUGUGCUUGGUUGAAGAGGAUGGACAGACCUUCCUGAGAUAGAGCCAGACAGGUCUUUGAGCUUAUAGAAGGAGCUGCACUCCCCUGCUAGAAUCUUCAAAGAAGCUCAAGGUCUAUUUAAAGGCAGGGAGGUGCUUCAGGGUCCU